RNAcentral lists this transfer RNA (74 nucleotides) under Methanobacteriota archaeon. RNAcentral describes it as "Euryarchaeota archaeon tRNA-Arg". It matches the Rfam family "tRNA". Rfam says of the family: Transfer RNA (tRNA) molecules are approximately 80 nucleotides in length. Lineage: Archaea; Methanobacteriati; Methanobacteriota. RNAcentral also lists the same sequence under 1 other name. The record is from RNAcentral.
GCCCGCGUAGGUUAGUCCGGACAGACUAUCGGGCUUCGGACCCGAAGACCCCGGUUCGAAUCCGGGCGCGGGCG